This 383-nucleotide ribosomal RNA is filed under the name Rhodomonas sp. Its description in RNAcentral is "partial small subunit ribosomal RNA". It matches the Rfam family "Eukaryotic small subunit ribosomal RNA", at positions 582 to 975 of the family's 1831-position model. Lineage: Eukaryota; Cryptophyceae; Pyrenomonadales; Pyrenomonadaceae. The record is from RNAcentral.
AUUCCAGCUCUAAUGGCGUAUAUUAAAGUUGUUGCAGUUAAAAAGCUCGUAGUCGGAUGUCGGGCUCGGGGAGGCUGUCGGCCUUUGGUCGGACGGCAUGUCCGGGCCUUUCUGCCUGGGGAUCCUAUUCUACUUAACUGUAGGGUAGUGGGACGCAGGCCGUUUACUUUGAAAAAAUUAGAGUGUUCAAAGCAGGCCUACGCUUGAAUACAUUAGCAUGGAAUAAUGGAAUAGGACUUUGGUCUUAUUUGUUGGUUUAUGGGACUGAAGUAAUGAUUAACAGGGACAGUUGGGGGUAUUCAUAUUUACAUGUCAGAGGUGAAAUUCUUGGAUUUUGGAAAGAUGAACUACUGCGAAGGCAUUUACCAAGGAUGUUUUCAUUA